UACGAAGGGGGCUAGCGUUGCUCGGAAUCACUGGGCGUAAAGCGCACGUAGGCGGAUUGCCAAGUCGGGGGUGAAAUCCUGGAGCUCAACUCCAGAACUGCCUUCGAUACUGGCGAUCUUGGAGUCUGGGAGAGGUGAGUGGAACUGCGAGUGUAGAGGUGAAAGUCGUAGAUAUGCGCAAGAACACCGGUGGCGAAGGGGGCUCACUGGCCCGGUACUGACGCUGAGGUGCGAAAGCGUGGGGAGCAAACAGG
RNAcentral lists this ribosomal RNA (254 nucleotides) under uncultured bacterium. RNAcentral describes it as "partial 16S ribosomal RNA". It matches the Rfam family "Bacterial small subunit ribosomal RNA", at positions 524 to 776 of the family's 1533-position model. The record is from RNAcentral.